UGCAGUCGAGCGCACCUUCGGGUGAGCGGCGGACGGGUUAGUAACGCGUGGGAACAUACCCUUUGGUACGGAAUAGCCUCUGGAAACGGAGAGUAAUACCGUAUGAGCCCUUCGGGGGAAAGAUUUAUCGCCAAAGGAUUGGCCCGCGUUAGAUUAGGUAGUUGGUGGGGUAAUGGCCUACCAAGCCUACGAUCUAUAGCUGGUUUUAGAGGAUGAUCAGCAACACUGGGACUGAGACACGGCCCAGACUCCUACGGGAGGCAGCAGUGGGGAAUCUUGGACAAUGGGGGCAACCCUGAUCCAGCCAUGCCGCGUGAGUGAUGAAGGCCUUAGGGUCGUAAAGCUCUUUCGCCUGUGAAGAUAAUGACGGUAGCAGGUAAAGAAACCCCGGCUAACUCCGUGCCAGCAGCCGCGGUAAUACGGAGGGGGUUAGCGUUGUUCGGAAUUACUGGGCGUAAAGCGCACGUAGGCGGACUGGAAAGUUGGGGGUGAAAUCCCAGGGCUCAACCCUGGAACUGCCUCCAAAACUAUCAGUCUAGAGUUCGAGAGAGGUGAGUGGAAUUCCGAGUGUAGAGGUGAAAUUCGUAGAUAUUCGGAGGAACACCAGUGGCGAAGCGGCUCACUGCUCGAUACUGACGCUGAGGUGCGAAAGUGUGGGGAGCAAACAGGAUUAGAUCCCUGGUAGUCACACCGUAAACGAUGAAUGCCAUCGUCGGGUAGCAUGCUAUUCGGUGAC
This 736-nucleotide ribosomal RNA is filed under the name Ruegeria sp. SOVoc10. Its description in RNAcentral is "bacterial SSU rRNA". It matches the Rfam family "Bacterial small subunit ribosomal RNA", at positions 56 to 848 of the family's 1533-position model. Lineage: Bacteria; Pseudomonadati; Pseudomonadota; Alphaproteobacteria; Rhodobacterales; Roseobacteraceae. The record is from RNAcentral.